CGUCCACAGCUCUCGGCCACUUUCACCAUUCCCAUCUGGCAGUGGUUCUUGACCCGGUUUGGCAAGAAGACAGCUGUAUAUGUUGGGAUCUCAGUGAGUGGGGUUGAAGAGCAGAGCCUGGGUUGAGUUGGGGAUGUCUGGAGGGAACCUCUCAGCUGACUCAUCUUCCUGCACCCCCUUCCCUAGUCAGCAGUGCCAUUUCUCAUCUUGGUGGCCCUCAUGGAGAGUAACCUCAUCAUUACAUAUGUGGUAGCUGUGGCAGCUGGCAUCAGUGUGGCAGCUGCCUUCUUACUACCCUGGUAGGUAUAUACAGGCCCCUCCUCGGGUAUCUCCAGUCCCUAGUCCCCAGUUUUGAAGCUCCUCGGGGAGAGUUCUAUGCGGUGUUCUCCCACAGGCCAUUCUGUGGGUCCAGGUUAGGAGUGGGGGAGGUCUGUCCUGUACAGUUGUACAGGUAGUGAGCUUUGCAAGAACACCUAGUCAGAGUGAAAAAUGGGGGCUAUAAUCUGGCCUGGGCUCCACUUGCCACGCUGAGCACCUCCAGGCAGGGUUACUUCCUCUUAGAGCAAGAGGCCUUUUCUUAUUCAUGUGAAGGUCCCAUAUCCUCACUGAGCUGUGUACCCAUGGUACUGCAAGCUUCCAGAGGGCCACCUCUUCUCAUUAACACAGAGGCCCGUUAGGUGGGUCGGUCCUCAUGGCUGUCACUACUCUGCGCAGGUCCAUGUUGCCUGAUGUCAUUGACGACUUCCAUCUGAAGCAGCCCCACUUCCAUGGAACCGAGCCCAUCUUCUUCUCCUUCUAUGUCUUCUUCACCAAGUUUGCCUCUGGAGUGUCACUGGGCAUUUCCACCCUCAGUCUGGACUUUGCAGGGUACCAGACCCGCGGCUGCUCGCAGCCGGAACGUGUC
RNAcentral lists this small RNA (904 nucleotides) under Pongo abelii (Sumatran orangutan). Its description in RNAcentral is "processed transcript". The record is from RNAcentral. Lineage: Eukaryota; Metazoa; Chordata; Mammalia; Primates; Hominidae.